This 823-nucleotide ribosomal RNA is filed under the name Pseudomonas aeruginosa. RNAcentral describes it as "bacterial SSU rRNA". It matches the Rfam family "Bacterial small subunit ribosomal RNA", at positions 78 to 897 of the family's 1533-position model. Lineage: Bacteria; Pseudomonadati; Pseudomonadota; Gammaproteobacteria; Pseudomonadales; Pseudomonadaceae. The record is from RNAcentral.
GCUUGCUCCUGGAUUCAGCGGCGGACGGGUGAGUAAUGCCUAGGAAUCUGCCUGGUAGUGGGGGAUAACGUCCGGAAACGGGCGCUAAUACCGCAUACGUCCUGAGGGAGAAAGUGGGGGAUCUUCGGACCUCACGCUAUCAGAUGAGCCUAGGUCGGAUUAGCUAGUUGGUGGGGUAAAGGCCUACCAAGGCGACGAUCCGUAACUGGUCUGAGAGGAUGAUCAGUCACACUGGAACUGAGACACGGUCCAGACUCCUACGGGAGGCAGCAGUGGGGAAUAUUGGACAAUGGGCGAAAGCCUGAUCCAGCCAUGCCGCGUGUGUGAAGAAGGUCUUCGGAUUGUAAAGCACUUUAAGUUGGGAGGAAGGGCAGUAAGUUAAUACCUUGCUGUUUUGACGUUACCAACAGAAUAAGCACCGGCUAACUUCGUGCCAGCAGCCGCGGUAAUACGAAGGGUGCAAGCGUUAAUCGGAAUUACUGGGCGUAAAGCGCGCGUAGGUGGUUCAGCAAGUUGGAUGUGAAAUCCCCGGGCUCAACCUGGGAACUGCAUCCAAAACUACUGAGCUAGAGUACGGUAGAGGGUGGUGGAAUUUCCUGUGUAGCGGUGAAAUGCGUAGAUAUAGGAAGGAACACCAGUGGCGAAGGCGACCACCUGGACUGAUACUGACACUGAGGUGCGAAAGCGUGGGGAGCAAACAGGAUUAGAUACCCUGGUAGUCCACGCCGUAAACGAUGUCGACUAGCCGUUGGGAUCCUUGAGAUCUUAGUGGCGCAGCUAACGCGAUAAGUCGACCGCCUGGGGAGUACGGCCGCAAGGAUAG